GUUGGGUCAGAGAAAUCAAAGCGGUGCACAUCUGAGAAAUAUCAGAGAGGGGGGACGCAUAGAUUAGCGCUCACGGGUUGUAUCGCUAAUUAAAGUAUAAGAGGGGAAAUGGUGCUGGGCUGCUCUCUGGGGACAGGCUGCUAUCAAGUGAUUGGCUUCAGGUAAUCAAUAGGCUCCCUGGGCUGUGGGAGUCACAAGGAGGGAUUUUCACUUUUUGAAUUUUGACUUAAAAUAAAUUUGGCUUGCAGAGGAGAGUGAAACAUAUAUAUAUAUUAGAGAUGGCACGAUACCACUUUUUUAUGUCUGAUACCGAUACCGAUAUCAUAAAUUUGGAUAUCUGCCGAUACCGAUAUGAAUCCGAUAUAAUGUUUUUUAAUCAACAAAACUGUUUUUUUUUAAAUAUCUUGCUGCAUUUUGUACAAGUUCAUACUCAAGUUUAAAACAACAACUACACUAAAGCUAUUCUGUUAUACCUAUAUGCAAAAAAAAAAAAAAUUCAUAGUUCAGCAAUACUGAUCAAUCUAAUAAACUUAAACCUACACCAUCCUCCCUAUUCUGGUAUUUUAAAGGGUACCUAGCGUAAAUAUUAAGCAACCUAACUAAUAGGGUUCCAACUCCCAGCAACAACAAAAAUAAAUAAAUAAAAAAUAGGGAACCACCCCUCACGCUCCACCUCAUGAUGCUUAAUCAACGUAAUCAACCUUAAUUUGAUGCAGUGUGAAAAAAAAAUGCACAGAAAUCAAUUAUUUUUCAAGAAAUAUUAAAUAGAUUCAACAUCUUUCUUCAACAAAAUUGCAGACUGCACAGAUGGUACCUUCCCAAAGGAAAAAGUACUAUAGCUUACUAGGGUAUAUUAGACUUAAUAGUCACUAUAUACAGUAAUUGACUUCUAUUCAUUUUACAUCAAAUUAAAACUUUGGGUGUAAGAUUCGGAUAAUUAUUUAUUAAAAGCUAGACAUUUUAAAUGAGAAUAAGAAAGAAAAGUAUGUCUUUGUGCCCCCUUUUCCCUGUUAAUGCCCUAUCGGCCCCCCUGGCUAAACUUUGCUAGAUCCGCCCCUGCACAGUUACCAGCCGUCAGCUACGUAGAAAAAGAUCCUCGAGUAGAAAGUAAUAUUAAAUAAAUUCUAACAACAGCUGAUCAAGCUUAAACGUGCUGCUGUUGUUCAGCCGAUGGUUUCCUCUUUCUGGUGCAAAGUGAGCCAAAAAC
Molecule: long non-coding RNA, 1207 nt
Organism: Astatotilapia calliptera (eastern happy)
Lineage: Eukaryota; Metazoa; Chordata; Actinopteri; Cichliformes; Cichlidae
Source: Ensembl